Molecule: non-coding RNA, 505 nt
Organism: Sus scrofa (pig)
Lineage: Eukaryota; Metazoa; Chordata; Mammalia; Artiodactyla; Suidae
Source: RefSeq, a predicted model, not a curated record
UUCCCGUGAGAACUCACCCCCUCUGCAGCAUCCCGAACCCCACAAGACCGCUGAGCCCAGAGCCCGUGUGGGCAGCAUGUGCUCUAGAGUGAGACCUGGCACCUCUCAUUCCUUUGAUCAACGAGUAAAGCUUCCCUUUGCUCCAGAACCCAAUCUGGUCUCAUUCUACUGGCUCUCAAGACACCAGGCAGGAAGACCUUCGUUGGCAUCUGACUCAAAAAGACUGAAAAGCAAAGGCUGGUGAUCCUCCUCAGGUCUCAGCUGACGUACCCAUCUGUACCUGCAGCCCAUGGCUGGUGGGACACACCCCCAACAAGAGCACUGGUCAUCCUCCCCAAAACUCCACACCCUGGCAAACCAUGAGAAAACUCUUGAGCCAAACUCAAAUUAAGGAACCGCCUACAAAAUACUUGAUCAGCCCUCUUCCAAAGGUCAAGGUCAUCAAGGAAGGUAAGUCUGAGAAACUGUUACAGACUGGAGGGCCGGAGAAAACAUGAUGAUUAAA